CCUACGGGAGGCUGCAGUGGGGGAUAUUGCACAAUGGGGGGAACCCUGAUGCAGCGACGCCGCGUGGGUGAAGAAGCGCCUCGGCGCGUAAAGCCCUGUCAGCAGGGAAGAAAAUGACGGUACCUGAAGAAGAAGCCCCGGCUAACUACGCGCCAGCAGCCGCGGUAAUACGUAGGGGGCAAGCGUUAUCCGGAUUUACUGGGUGGAAAGGGGGCGCAGACGGCGAUGCAAGCCAGGAGUGAAAGCCCGGGGCCCAACCCCGGGACUGCUCUUGGAACUGCGUGGCUGGAGUGCAGGAGGGGCAGGCGGAAUUCCUGGUGUAGCGGUGAAAUGCGUAGAUAUCAGGAGGAACACCGGUGGCGAAGGCGGCCUGCUGGACUGCAACUGACGUUGAGGCCCGAAAGCGUGGGGAGCAAACAGGAUUAGAUACCCCUGUAGUC
RNAcentral lists this ribosomal RNA (440 nucleotides) under uncultured bacterium. RNAcentral describes it as "partial 16S ribosomal RNA". It matches the Rfam family "Bacterial small subunit ribosomal RNA", at positions 338 to 795 of the family's 1533-position model. The record is from RNAcentral.